UGCCAUUUAAAUUAUUAAAAAAAAAAAGUUAUCUUUGUCUUUGUGAAAUUGUGAGGAAACUAGCCAUGUGUAGUUUUAGUGAAUGAAAAUAAAGCCAAGAGGGUAAAGGUUCUGGAAUUUUGAUUCAUUGCAGAGUCAUUAUGAAUUCAAUGGAGUAUCUACCUGCAACAAAAUUACGAAAUACAUAAAUAAGUCAGAAUAUAUAUCAAUUAGCAAAGACAAUUUUAUGAUCAAGAUAAACAGAUAUCCAAUUUCUAAAUAGUAUAAGCGGAUAGGAAAACUUUGCUUAUUCGACGAAUUAUAUGAAACAAUCUUUGGUGAUGCCUUGUUAGUUAUUGGUUUCUCCUCUUUACUCAAACUAGUUUCAAGUAUCAGGUCCAAAAAAGUUAUUUAUAUCUAUUGCUUAAAAUUCUGUCUUUCCUACUAAACUUAUUUUAUUUUGUUCAUGAACAUUAGUUCCCACACAAUGUCCAUUGAUUUUGUUGAACUGAACUCAUUUGAUGCAGCUGCUGCGCCUGUGACGAAGAAUGGGAACAGCAAUAGGACACUGACGUCACAGAAGAAAAAUACUGCUUCAGAUAGAUCCUUCAAACUCUAAACAUAAGGCAACUUUCCGGUGAGAAGCUCAAGUUACACUAUUCCAUGAUUAGAGAUGUCAAUCUUUAUAUCGACCUUAAAUGGCAUAUACGUUCUGCCGAAUAGAAAAUGACAUCUCUUCACAAAUAUCACUCAAGGCAGUCUGUCUUCCAUAGUAAUCAUCUGUUAAAAAGUUAUGCUUACUAAGCUUUUAACUAGCCUAUAUGAUUAGUAUUUUGAAAACCAUAAAAGGCAUUAUCCUAUUAAAAAAAACAGUCCUAAUAUGUGUGAAGAAUUAUCUACUGACAUAAGUCACAAGUUUUGUGAGACUCUUUGGGAGAAUUUAUGAAAACUGCUUAUGACAUUUUAAAUAAGUUUUUUCAGCUUAUUGUCAUAAGUUCUCCAAAUAACUUGUAAAAACAACUUAGCAUAUAUGAAAACAACUUAACUUUAUUUUAUUGUUUUCUAUAGAAAUAGCUUAUGUAAGUUUAUACCAGUACGCUUGUGCUAUAAGUUGUUUAUCCAAUCAGGGCCUUAUUCCCAUUUCUAUGCUUUAGCAUCACUUUUUGGAACCGAAUGUAGUUUGAACAACAUUUACACUCCAUUUAUCCACACUCUUAACCUUAGCUGACCUAUUCCUUCAUGAAUAAAAACUUCAAGAGGAUAAACAGAAAAUGCAAUCCUUACUCUUGCAUUUCAGGUUGAUGCUAUCAAGGGGGGAAAGCAUGUGAACUGCAACCAAAAAAUCUAGAAGCCUUUUAUCACUGACUAGUGUAAAAUUAAGGGCAUAUUUCAAUUGAAGUUGAACUUAGGGUAACACUUUUUCCAACUUUUGCAAACUGACGAGUAAAAAAGGAGUUGCUUCUGCAAACAGAGUUUGCUAAGUAUUGUAAAAAAUGCUGCUAGUUUUCUAAACAUACACUAAAGCAUAUAUGAAAAAAAAAGGAAGUUUCACAAAGAACCCAAAAAAUUGCUUCUGUAUAUUCCCUGACACCACCAAUUUCCUUGACUGAUACAUAAUCAACAGUGUUAUCAAUUGCGGAUAAUGCAAAAUAGUGGUUUGUUCAAAUUCCACUAUGCAGCAGUGCUAUAUAGCUGCUAUUUGAUAAUACUUUGUAAUAAUUAGUGUAUCGCAGAAUAGUAGCGGUUUGUUCAAAACCCACUACGCGAUAGCACCGGUGGCCAUUACAGCUUCUAUUUAACAACAGCCAAUUAGAUGAUCAUUCAACAAUGUAAUCAACCAAAGCCAUCAUAAGAAAAAAAGAUCACACAAACUAUUAAAUAACAUAUACGUGACUAAAUACAGUUCCAGACAAGUAAAAUGAAGUAGGAACUUACUUUCAGAAAGAAGAAACCGAAGUUUGAACAAAAUACUUGGAAAAGAGCCAACAUAUUUUAUUAGUAAGUAUAGUUCUCGCUACUCUAUUUACUUUCCAAUCAUAGAGACUUGCUUGGUCUUCUAGAUUGUUUGCCAAUAUCAAUGUAUCUCCAUUUUCAGAAAAGUGCACUGACAACCCUUGAGUCUAAGACUUCUCAACUCCACAUCAUCUGCUACACGACAAAAUUGGUUAUCGCCAAAUCAUGAGAAAAACAGAGACAGUUCAUGAAAAGGGCAACAUUUGGCUCGACAAGUAGCACUUCACCAAAGUAUCAAAGGGCAGGCAACUUCCUGUGUUCCUGUUAGGAACCCGAGAAUUCUAAUAUACAAGAUUAGAGGAAUGCGUAAAACAAACUCAAAUAUAUAAAGAUAAAGAUUGCAAAGAGCUGAAGAACUUCUUAUUCAUGUAGUGAGAUUCAAAGAGAAGAUACAACAAGUUUACAAUGAAGAAGAUAACCUUGCACACAAAGCAACCCCAAAAGAGCACUCACACUUCUUUCACACUAAAUAAUUCUCUAAUCACAAUUUCAUUAUUCAAAGAUAUCUUUCCCCUAACCAAUGGAAAGCUAUCUAAAGAUUUUCUAAGAAUAACCAAAGUAACAUCUCCUAACAAACUUAUCAACUUACUAACUUUUAACUAAUAUAAUUAUCCAAUAUUAUUUAUCCUAAUACUUUCUCCAUUGCCAAACCAACAAAAAUAUCACAAAUUGCUCAACAAUAAUAAUAUUCCAAUUUCUAAUAAUACCUGAAAUUAUUGUAAAUGGCCAACCAGUUAAGAGCAUCCAUCCAAUACACACCACCAGCCACCCGGGGACAAAUAUAGUGCAACUGAAGAGACCAAGAGAAAACUAAUAAAAUUUAUCAAAGCAUUGCCACCCAAACCGAAAGCUCUCACUCCGGUUCUCACUUGACCUUUAAUGUGAACAUUGAAGUUUAGCGCCAUGGACCACCAUGUUCCAAGUGUCUGAUGAAUUAUUAUAAUCAAACAAAAACUUGAAAGAGCUAGAUAGAUGCCUGCCAAAAUGACAAGAAAGUAACAACAAAAAUUAGUUACCAAAAGUGAAGUUUUUAGAUUUUUAUAAUUAAUUUUAUGAUGACAAAGUUAAUUGAUAAAAAGUAAAAAAACUUCAAACUUUUUAAAAUAUAAGCCAGUAAUUUUCAUUUAGAUUUGUUUGGAUGGCAUGAGAAAUCAAAUUUACAAGCUCCAAAAUUCAAUGGUAAACAAGAUGGAGUUUGGCUAACUUUUUAGCAUCCUAUAAUCAACUUUGGAAUAUAUGAUACCUAGCUUCAUUCUUCUUUUUUUCAACACAACUGAAGGUUCGUACGAAAAGAGAAUGAAGAUGGAAGAGAAUGAAUUUAUUAUUUGACAUCUCUAUUGUGAUUAUCAAUUCUGGAUAGCGACGCAUCGCAACUUAGUCUUAUAAAAGCUAUUGCGAGAUGGCCGCUAUUCGGAAUUUCUUAAACAUAAUAAAUAAUUAUUACUGUAAAAAUAAAUGCUGAAAGAUUAAAACAAUACUCAAUUCAUGAAAUAUUCAUAAAUUAGAAAUAAUUAAAUUCAUAGGUCUUAUGCAAAACAUAAAUGUAAAUAACAAAAGAAAGUACAAAAAAACAAACAAGGUUAAGCAUCAGAGGUUUAAAGUAACUACCAAAGGUUUAUUAUGUAGGAGAUCCAGGGUUCGAUACCUAUUACUAACAAAUUUUUCCUUCCCUUGACAAAUUACCACUAACAUUCCAAAUUCAAAAAAUGGCUAUUAAAAUAAGGUUUUUCUUUUGGAAGCAUUUAGCAGGCCGCAAACACCUGCAAUAUUGGUCGAACAAUGGACGCUACUGCCGCCAGUGGCAGAGCUUUGUUGGGGGAAGGGAUGUACUAUACUAUUCGUGUUAUAUGAUAUAAUACACACUUUGGCGUAGUGGUCGAGGACACUUUUGACCUAUGAUGACACGGGAUCGAAUCUCGGUGAUCUUGGUUUUGCAUCUUUUUUAUUUUCCUUUUCCAAGAAUAAAUAAAUACUCCAUCAAAAUGGAAAUAUUUAGGUUUGAACUCCAAUACUUGAAGGGAAAACAAAGGGUCAUAACCACUAUGCAUAUUUCGACCCCCUCAUAUAACGAGGCCAUGCUCCCCACCGACAGCCGCUAUAGCAAACCACUCCGUUACCAACUCGCAACUGUGGCCACUCGCCACUGCUAUAGCACGCUGUUGGAUACAUAGAUCUCUAAAACUCAAAUUAUCCAAUGCUUAUUGGAAAAGGGAACUACAAAAUUUUAGAGUUUAGAAGAUAUUUUAAGAAGCUUGGAUUUGAUUCAAGUUAAAAGUGAGUUUCCAUAAGAGUAGUGUAAGAAUAAAACUUAAUGCAAUUAUAAAAUGUUGGGGCUGAUUUUCUGUUUGGAAUUGCAAAGUUGAUUGCUUACCACUUAAGUAAUUGAAAUCAACUGCAUAUAUAGGAUAAAAACUAAUAGGGUUUAAAGGCGGAAUAUCCUUUCAUCAAUAAAAUGAUGAAUUCUGUUGCACCUUCAUGUAACUACCUUAGUUAGCUAGAGUUCUAUAAAUAGAGAGAGCAAAUUUGGUAUAAUACAUUCAAGAAAAUUUUAUAAAAGAAUUUGUAACUAAUCGACCAUAGGUAUAAUGCGUAGGAGCAAAUUAUAUAAAAAGAAUAUACAUAAAAUAUCAUAUGAUCAAUCACAUAAGCAUGUAUAAAUGCUGGAACAAACAAAUCUAAAUUAGACCCGAGAAAGGAAAGUCUUUUUAUAUAGAGCUUGGGGAAAUUUGGAAUAAUGCAAUACAGAAGCUUGGUAGAAGACCAAGGAUGCUUCACCAUUCAUGUAAAAUCAAAUAGGGGCUUGUUGCUUCUCACCAUUAGAAUCUGAAUAAUUGAAAGAAUAAGUAUGGUUUUAGACAUGUAAGCAUGUUGCCUACACGGCUUAAUUUAGUAAGAAUGACUACCCAAAACUAGGGGUCGCAAACGGGCAUGUCUGCCCCGUUUAGGCCCGCCCCGCAAAAGCCCGCAAAAAAAUGGGGCGGGCGGGGCGGUCAUAGUUGAGGAUGUGGGCCUAAAAAUGAAUCCAGCUUUCUAUGUUUUUGCCCAAAUCAUAUCCUAGCAUGUAUAAAUAGAACCCUAUAUAAGCUGCACUAAAUGUGUUAAAAGGAGAAAACAUCAACAACCAAGUCUUAUAACACUAAGUGGGAUCGGCUAUACGGAUGAAACGGUGCCAUAAUGUUCUACAAUAUAUCAUAUCUCUAACCAACUAAUUAACCUCUAGAUAUUUCUUAAUAGUUUCGCUCAUAGUUUUUCUAGAUCUUCCUCUACUCAGGUGAUUUGACUACUCUCCAUUUGAUCCACCCUCUUUACUACAAAAUCUACGUCUCAACAAGCCCAAACAACCUAAGCCAAUUUCUUAAUAGUUUCGCUCAUAGUUUUUCUAGAUCUUCCUCUACUCAGGUGAUUUGACUACUCUCCAUUUGAUCCACCCUCUUUACUACAAAAUCUACGUCUCAACAAGCCCAAACAACCUAAGCCAGGUUUCCACCAACUUCUCUAUGAUAGAUGCUACCCCAAUUUUCUCUCUAAUAUCAUUUAUAACAUAGUCUUGUCUAGUAUUACCAAUGUCAUACUUCCGACACAUUAUCCACAUCUCCGCUACACUUAUUUUAUUUUUCUGUUGGUUCUUUACCGCCGAACACUCUGACUCAUACAACAUUUCCGCUUUUACAAAUAUAAGAUAAAAUUUUCCCUUCAACUUGAGCGAUACUUUUGGUAUCACAUAAAACACUUGAGACCCUACUCUAUCUCAACCACCCCACUUGAAUACGAUGGUUUACAACUUCUACUUUUUCUCUAUUUGAUACUGUGGACCCAAGGUAUUUAAACUGCGUAACUUGUAGUAUGACAUAUAAUUGUAGUAUGACAUGAUAUGAUCUCCAACUUUCAUCUCUAAGCUAGGGAUGCUUUAUUCUACUUUUUCUCUAUUUGAUACUGUGGACCCAAGGUAUUUAAACUGCGUAACUUGUAGUAUGACAUAUAAUUGUAGUAUGACAUGAUAUGAUCUCCAACUUUCAUCUCUAAGCUAGGGAUGCUUUGCCUUGUAAAAAAAUUGCAUUCCAUAUAAUCUAAUAAAGAAUCGAUAAGUCCUUUUGAAUUGGAAAAAGAAAUUGAAGAAGAAAUCAUUAAACUUCGUUUGAAGUACAAAUCAUGAUUUGUUCAUCACAAUUAUUGUUUAGUAGAGUGAAAGGAAAAUGAAGCAAUAUCUGAAAUAAUGAGCACCAUGGGAAGAAGUGUGAAUCUCUCAAUUGCUUGCUCUCAUCACUCGGGACUUUGACACCUCCUGCUGCAUCUACGUUAAACAGAAGCAAGAUAGUUUUUCUUUUCCUUGUACCGAUAGGUGUACUCAUUGUUUUAAGUUGGGCUGAAUAUAUGUACCGAUUGAGUUUUUCUGGCUACCUUGUUAGUCGCAAAACCUUUUGUUUAAUGAGUGAGUUGCUGGCAAUGAAUUUGUUGCCACUAUAUAGUUUCCCCUAAAAGGAAAUUUUGUUAAAAUGAUAUUUUGGGAUCACAGGGAAGAUGACACUUGCACUUUAAAUGGGUAAACAUGAGACACAUUAUUAAAGGAGUCACUCAUGUAAUAUUGUGGGAUUUAUUAAGUAAGCUCACAUGAGCUUACCGUAGGAUUAAUGUACACUAGUAUAGCCUUGUAACAAAAUGUUAGUUACAAUUAGAACAUAUCUAACAGAUUGUAACUAACUGACUGACAAGUGUCAGUCAGCCCUAGGUCUUACCUGCUACAGCAGGUCAUCAACAAGAUCUAUAAAUAGAUCUAAUCCAGUGUAACUAACAAUCAAUAAAAUCACAAAAUCACAAUUCAGUUUUCUCCAUUAAUUCCAAGAGAAUCAUGGCCAAUAUUCAUAACUCUAACACACAUUGUGACAAAUAAACCAAAUAAUGAGAAACAAAGAAAAGCAACAUCCGACCAUAGAUCACUAGAUCUUGAGCAACUGCAACAUUAUUCCUAAUAUACUCAAAUGAUCUUGAAAACAGUGCACUUAAAUUAUAAAAAAGAUUUGGAGACAUUCACCUGCUUCUAAACAAACAGGCAGGAGAAGAGUUGUAAAACAGAACAACUAUUAAGCAGUGAGUUGCUUCAAAUGUUUUCGAAGAAACCUAAACGAAAGACAUCAAGAGGGCCAUAAAUGUCUGGUACAAAACGAGUACUGUAACUGUAGCUCCAAAUAAGCUUCUUACUUCUUUUUCUCCCACCAUCCCAGAAUGUACCAUUAAUUAGGGUUGAAGUGCCUGAAG
Molecule: long non-coding RNA, 7245 nt
Filed under: Lathyrus oleraceus (garden pea)
Lineage: Eukaryota; Viridiplantae; Streptophyta; Magnoliopsida; Fabales; Fabaceae
Description: Pisum sativum (pea) long non-coding RNA (PSAT_LNC011127)
Source: RNAcentral